GUACACGCUGUGACUAGCAUAUCAAUAAGCGGAGGAAAAGAAACUAACAAGGAUUCCCCUAGUAACGGCGAGUGAAGCGGGAAGAGCUCAAAUUUGAAAUCUUAAAGGGUUUCCCUUUACGAAUUGUAGUUUAAAGAAGUGUUUUCUGUUGAGGUUUUGGUAAAAGUUCUUUGGAAUAGGACAUCAUAGAGGGUGAGAAUCCCGUAUUUGACCUUUACUUUCAACUUUGUGAUACACUUUCAAAGAGUCGGAUUGUUUGGGAAUGCAGUCCAAAAUGGGUGGUAAAUUUCAUCUAAAGCUAAAUAUUGGCGAGAGACCGAUAGCGAACAAGUACCGUGAGGGAAAGAUGAAAAGAACUUUGAAAAGAGAGUUAAGCAGUACGUGAAAUUGUCAAAAGGGAAGCGUUUGACACCAGUGUUGUUUUUCUGAAAAUCAAUUAAAGAACUGUUUAUGCUAAGCUGUUUAGACUUUAUCAGCUAACUGUUUAGUUUUGAGCUUUUCUUUAAUGCACUUUUCAGUUAACAAGUCAACAUCAAUUUCUUUUGCUGUAAAAAAGCUUGAGGAAGGUGGCUUGAGAUUCGUCUUAAGUGUUUAUAGCCUCUUGCCUAUGCAGUCGGAGAGAUUGAGGUCUGCAGCGUAGAUCCUUCGGGGCUAAAUGCAUUUGUGCUAAGUUAUAGCAUUUUAUAGACAACUUGUUGACUAUGAUUUGUCUUGUAGCUUACUCGCUUAUGUUAUUUUACCUACGCUUAGGAUGUUGAGUCGUAGAGCACGCAG
Molecule: ribosomal RNA, 774 nt
Filed under: uncultured Neocallimastigales
Lineage: Eukaryota; Fungi; Neocallimastigomycota; Neocallimastigomycetes; Neocallimastigales
Description: partial large subunit ribosomal RNA
Rfam family: Eukaryotic large subunit ribosomal RNA
Source: RNAcentral